Molecule: transfer RNA, 58 nt
Filed under: Aquimarina atlantica
Lineage: Bacteria; Pseudomonadati; Bacteroidota; Flavobacteriia; Flavobacteriales; Flavobacteriaceae
Also listed under: 3 other names
Description: tRNA-Asp
Rfam family: tRNA
About the family: Transfer RNA (tRNA) molecules are approximately 80 nucleotides in length. Their secondary structure includes four short double-helical elements and three loops (D, anti-codon, and T loops). Further hydrogen bonds mediate the characteristic L-shaped molecular structure. tRNAs have two regions of fundamental functional importance: the anti-codon, which is responsible for specific mRNA codon recognition, and the 3' end, to which the tRNAs corresponding amino acid is attached (by aminoacyl-tRNA synthetases). tRNAs cope with the degeneracy of the genetic code in two manners: having more than one tRNA (with a specific anti-codon) for a particular amino acid; and 'wobble' base-pairing, i.e. permitting non-standard base-pairing at the 3rd anti-codon position.
Source: RNAcentral
UAGUUCAGCUGGUUAGAAUACCUGCCUGUCACGCAGGGGGUCGCGGGUUCGAGUCCCG